GAUGAACGCUGGCGGCGUGCCUAAUACAUGCAAGUCGAGCGAACAGACGAGAAUGUUUCUCCUCUGUCGUUAUCGCGGGACGGGUGAGUAAAACAUGUGGAACCUACCUAUAUAACUGUGAUAACUUCUCGAGACCCCGGCGAUUACCGGAUAAUAUAUUUAACCUCAUAGGUCAAUAUUGUAAAACGCUUUUGUUGUCACUUAUAUAUAUAUCCGCGCCGCAUUAGCUAGUUGGUAAGGUAACGGCUUACCAAGGCAACGAUGCAUAGCCGACCUGAGAGGGUGAUCGGCCACACUGGAACUGAGACACGGUCCAGACUCCUACGGGAGGCAGCAGUAGGGAAUCUUCCGCAAUGGGCGAAAGCCUGACGGAGCAACGCCGCGUGAGUGAUGAAGGUCUUCGGAUCGUAAAACUCUGUUAUUAGGGAAGAACAAAUGUGUAAGUAACUAUGCACGUCUUGACGGUACCUAAUCAGAAAGCCACGGCUAACUACGUG
Molecule: ribosomal RNA, 497 nt
Filed under: uncultured bacterium
Lineage: Bacteria
Description: partial 16S ribosomal RNA
Rfam family: Bacterial small subunit ribosomal RNA
Source: RNAcentral